This 218-nucleotide ribosomal RNA is filed under the name uncultured bacterium. RNAcentral's name for it is "partial 16S ribosomal RNA". It matches the Rfam family "Bacterial small subunit ribosomal RNA", at positions 123 to 334 of the family's 1533-position model. The record is from RNAcentral.
AACCUGCCCCAUAGUCUGGGAUACCACUUGGAAACAGGUGCUAAUACCGGAUAAGAAAGCAGAUCGCAUGAUCAGCUUUUAAAAGGCGGCGUAAGCUGUCGCUAUGGGAUGGCCCCGCGGUGCAUUAGCUAGUUGGUAAGGUAAAGGCUUACCAAGGCGAUGAUGCAUAGCCGAGUUGAGAGACUGAUCGGCCACAUUGAGACUGAGACACGGCCCAA